RNAcentral lists this ribosomal RNA (253 nucleotides) under uncultured bacterium. RNAcentral describes it as "partial 16S ribosomal RNA". It matches the Rfam family "Bacterial small subunit ribosomal RNA", at positions 524 to 776 of the family's 1533-position model. The record is from RNAcentral.
UACGGAGGGGGCAAGCGUUGUUCGGAAUUACUGGGCGUAAAGGGCUCGUAGGCGGCCAACUAAGUCGGAUGUGAAAUCCCCAGGCUUAACUUGGGAACUGCAUCCGAUACUGGAUGGCUUGAGUCCGGGAGAGGGAUGCGGAAUUCCAGGUGUAGCGGUGAAAUGCGUAGAUAUCUGGAGGAACACCGGUGGCGAAGGCGGCAUCCUGGACCGGCAUUGACGCUGAUGAGCGAAAGCCAGGGGAGCAAACGGG